UUUUUUUUUCUUUUUUUCUUUUUAGGCAGAAUGGGGUCUCGCUAUGUUUCCCAAGCUGGUCUCGAACUCCUGGGCUCAAGCAAUCCUCCUGCCUCAGCCUCCCAAAGUGCUGGGAUUGAGAUUUUAUACCUGAUUUUUCUGAAAUUAUGUGUUCUGGAGCCAAAAAAAGUUAGAGGGAGGUUGCUAAAAAUACCCAGACAUAAGCCUCUGACCAGCAGAGGAGACAGAAUGCAAUGAUCUGGAAAGUCCCUCCAAGCUCUCUAUGCUCAUUGGUCCUCCCAAAAAGCAGAGGCUACUCAUGGAAAGAAGGAUUUGGCUGAAACAUCUGCAGAAUGACAUUGCUUCCCAGGGCUGCUUAACGCUGACCUUUUGACAUUCUCGCCUUUGAUUUCCUUAAUGUGAUUGCUCUGUUUCUUUGCUGUCUGACAAAAGGUCAAUUCCUGUUUGUCUUCUAAUAAAUGGGCUGCUUAAUGCUGGGGGAAAAAGAGACCAACAGAAAAUCCUCAUUGCCAUCUACAAAUAACUUCAAAGUAAAUCAUCUACCUUUUGCUUUCUUCUUUGAACUUUUAAAUUUUUAUCACAUACGAAUGUACCAUCAUUAGCUCUCCCUGGCAGCAGGGAGAUCUUUGAUGGAGUAACUGCCUCUCAAAAAAGAUCAUGCUUUUCUGAACAUGCUGUAUUUUUGGCUGCAGCCCUGAACUGCUGGGAAUGCAAUUGCUUUUUAAUUGGAACCAACAACCAGUGUUGGCUUGGAUUCAGAACUAGCCUCCCCGCAUCAGAAACGUCUACUGGAGUCUGGGGAUAGGCGAGAGGGGGGCCGUUAACCACCUUCAGGCUGUGAAUCCCCGGGGGGAAGCUCUCUUUGUACCUGGAAUCUUGGCUGGCUCAGAAAACAGAAUUUCCAUUUUCUGACCAGAUAAAGAAAUACUUGUCAUUGAUGGGGACUGGCAAACAGAAAACUGAAUGGUUCAUGCAGGGAAUUUUCACCCUGCCCAGUUUAUGUCUGCAUGUGUGCGAAUAAACUAGGAGCUUGGAUGAAAGGGAACAAAAGAAUCACAAAGGAAAUUUCUAGUGUUUUCCAUCAACAUGACAGACCAAAAUGUCCUUUCCUUUCCAAAGGGAAACAAUUGCAGGAAUGGGUUCCCUUGUCUUUUGUUACUGAGGGAAUAAUCAGCAUUCUGUAAAGAAACCCAUCGCUUCAGGUUCUCAUCCUAUCAAGCAAUUAUUUAUAAUUUACGGCCUAUUAAUACAACAGCACAUCUUAUCUACACUGUGUGCCAAAAAGCUCACGCUUAAUCAGAAUAUUAGCACCAUGGCUUGCUGAACACAACCUCUUCUUUACGCAUUCCUUUAACUAAUUUCGACCCAAUGCACGAAGGGCGUGGAGCUGGAUGCUGGUGGUCCACAUUGCAAUGCAGGCAGAGUAAUUAUGCACAACAUAAAAUGACAAAUAUUUAGUGUCUAAAGGUCUAUUUCCAUAUGCCCAAUUCUUCAGAUGGGGUAUAUGGUUGUGCUAGAGUUAGCCACAGUGCAAUGUGGGAUGAAAAUCCAAAGGCAUAGAAUCCGAAUGCAAACAAAAAAUCCAAAGCAUUCGAGUCAAUGUCCUGUUUCUCCUACUCACACUAACUCAAGUGUGACCUCAAAUUCCUUUGCUCUCAUAGUCUAAGUUUGAAAAAAUCUUCUGCAUUGGGGGAACAUUCCAUUUGAAUUUAAUUUACAUUGUCAAUACAAACUGAGCAGGAUUUCCAAGAACAAAAGGAACAAAGAAAUCUAUUUUGGCCUGAAUGAUGCUGAUUGCUUCAACCAAGAGAUGGCACCAACUUGCACCCAAAUUCUGGCUGGGUGGUAAGUGUGUGGAUCAUCCAAGCUCAUCUCCUGUGCUUCUCAUUGGAGAGUUUCCUCUCCAGAUAAGGCAGCCCCUAAGCUGUACCACAUAAUCCCCAUACUCACUUUCUCUCUCUGCUUGAGGUCAUUUUCUUCCAUCCAUCCCUUUACUGACACAAUGCUUUCCAUUUUGCAAAGCCUGCAACAUCAGGGCAUCCGAGGUUAUUCUACACCAUGGUCUUCUGCUUUGUCCAAAUUCCUUUAACAUUUUCAUGGCACUGGAUAAUAUAUAAUUUCUUCCUUUUCCUAAGAGUUUAAUGUGUGCCUGCCAACAAGCAAGUGAGUGUUUUUUUGGAUGUAUGACUGCUCUAGACUGUGACAAGAGUUCUUUGUCAUCAAGGAAACAUUUAUCUUGGAUUUCUGUGCUCCAGACCUUCUGCAGGGACACAGUGAGGAAGACGAGGAGCAGAGAGAUUCCUAAAGGAAGUGGGUCAGGGCACACAAGCGUAUAAGCUAUUGGGAAGAAGACAAAGCAACAGAUAUUGGUUUCUCUGUGAUAUCACAGUGUCAAAUCAAAUAUAAGCAGAGGAAGAGUCCCGGGAUGGAGGGAAUGAUGACUGGUAACUAAAAGUCAGCUAACACUUGGGCUGGAUCUUAAAAUCCAGUGAGUUGGAUGGGGUCCAUGUGGAAUGGGCCUUGAGUGGCCACCCCAGAGGACAGAUUUCAAUCAGACAGUAGAGGGAUAUAACCAAUGUUUCUCAUGAGGGAACAACAGGACUCUAUCUGCCUUAGCAAGAAGAGACAGCUGGAAGAUCCCAUGGUGGGGAGGAAUAAUGGUCUCGGGGAAAGAAGGCACUGGAGUAGAGAGUAGGUUUUGCUGUGAGAUAAUCUGAAGGAGCCCAGGGGAAACCUGUGGAUGAAUGGGAUGUGAAGCAUAAAGAA
Long non-coding RNA from Symphalangus syndactylus (siamang), 2766 nucleotides. RefSeq lists it as uncharacterized. NCBI's taxonomy places the organism in Eukaryota, Metazoa, Chordata, Mammalia, Primates, Hylobatidae. The record is from RefSeq and is a predicted model, not a curated record.